GAAAAGAAGCUUCUUUGCAUUUUCUUGGGGAUAUUAACCAGAGAUUAAUUUUAAAGCAUAAUUUUUCAUCUGAAAGUCUCACUAUCUUGCAGGAAUCUAGGAGCUUGCAGUAACCUUAUUGCAAUUCCACAAGGUACUUGUUCUAUGUGUGUAUGGUUAAUAAGUAUACAGAUGUUAUACAGCAUACAGAGAAGUUAGGCUGGUAAGAUUACCGCAUUGGAAAAGAUUAUUAGGUAUAAAUGAAAGGUGCUCACUGGUGUUGAGGCUCACAAAAACUCCCUGAGGAGCAAUCUUCAGGAAGAGAUCCUUCCUCAGUGGCAGUCAGCCCUUAAAUGGGGUCUAGGAGAGGUGGAGCCUGGCUCCACCCCUUCCAGCCACACAGGUGAAUUGCCUUCACCUGUGCUCCUGCAGCUGACUCAGUGCUUGCCUCAGGUGACCAAUCUGAGGUUCAAGCUGAGACUCAACAGUUCCCAUACAAUGUGCUUUUAUGAAUGGGUAAAACGAAGGAGACUGACUUCCCUAAUAUAGAAUAAUCAAAUCCAGUAGUGUCUUAGCAGAAAGUAUGCUACCCUUUAACCAGGGCUACAGGAACUGUUGCAUUUUCUAAAGUAUUUGACAUUAUCAUCUAUUGAUCUGGUGUAAAUGAGCAUAGUAAGGUUUGACAUACUUACACAGAGGAAUAUUCAUGACUAUGUCAGAUCAUAGCAAUUGACUUUCUUCCUUUAGCAUGGCUAAGAUAACUACGUCAUUUGGUUGAUAAUCUCACUAAUUAGCUCUAUUUUUAUUUAUGUAAUCAAUUUACCAUAGGAACUUACUGAACUAAGUGAAGACAUGGAAUGCCUACAGGGAAUUUCUUGGUAGAGGAAAACAAGAAAACAAGUAAUAUCAGACUGAAAUUUUCAGCCAGGUGGUCAUAUGUUCCUAUAGUUCAGAUGUCAUUUUUGCAAAUUAACUACAAACAUUUACCCUUCUACCAUCAUUCACUUCCAUUUUUCGCCAAAUCUUAAAACAUUUUUUUCCCCAAAAAAGAAAACACAUCAUGAGCAUCACUCAAUACUCACCCCAAAAUACUUACAGUUCAACUUUACAUGCGUACUUCAGACUACUGUUCUUUCAGAAAACACCAUUCCCUGUAGCAGUGAGACUCUUAAAUACAUGCUACUGACUAAAAGCAGACAGACAUAAACAAGAACCUUCCUUAAGAUGCUCAUUUCUAAUCUUCAUAAUCACGAAACAUUUUACUCUACACAAGUGUGUAUCUAGAUAAAUCUAUAAUCAACUAGACUUAUAACUACCGACUCCUCAAAACUUCUUAACAGAAUACUGUUUGGAAAGUCUAUUGACUUUCACCUACCGACAGAAAAGUAGAAAAUCUCUUUUAAUAAGGAGUUCUCAUGCUAGAUAUUUCUGUUCCUAUUAUCUAAAGCUAAUGAUUCCUUUGGCUGAAACGUAUCCUUUCUUUACAUGUCAAACACUUUUUUGUAGAUGAUUGUCAUCAAAGAACAUAAGAAAAAUUAGGUGACUAAAGUUGAAAAUAGGAAUAAUAAAAGACAAGGGUCAAAUGGCAGUGAUUAAUACCAUAGUGAUAUUUACCUUUAUUUGCUAUUAACAAUAAAUUUCCUUUGACUUUGCUUUACAGAUUCUAUGCAAAAUGGAACACACAUAAGAGAAAAAAAUAUGGGAUCUGCAGAAAAUGCAAGCUGACAAAACAUUAAAACAAACAUGAUAGAGAUAGCAACAGGAAGAUGGAAAGAACAACACUCUUAUUUUCACAGGUGACCACUAACUUAUAAAGGACCUCAGAAAGAAGAGCAACUACUUGUUCUCACUCACAUUCCAUGACAGUAAGACCCCACUUUCCUGUGGGGAGCAGGUGUAGCUAUCACCUCCCUUUUGGCAGUUUGUUUCAGCCAAGGAGUUAUUACUGCAGCUGUUCAGCUGACAGCAAUUACCACUGGCAAUGGUUGUUAUAUGUGGAUCUCACCUUCUAAAGAUUUCCUCCCAAGAGAGUUGAUGUGCUG
Long non-coding RNA from Gallus gallus (chicken), 2021 nucleotides. Lineage: Eukaryota; Metazoa; Chordata; Aves; Galliformes; Phasianidae. The record is from Ensembl.